AAUCAACGCUGGCGGCGUGCCUAACACAUGCAAGUCGCACGAGAAAGGGUCUUCGGAUCUGAGUAAAGUGGCGCACGGGUGGGUAACACGUGGAUUAUCUACCUUCGAGUGGGGAAUAACUUCGGGAAACCGAGGCUAAUACCGCAUAAUAUCUACGGAUCAAAGCAGUAAUGCGCUUGAAGAGGAGUUCGCGGCAGAUUAGUUAGUUGGCGGGGUAAUGGCCCACCAAGACGAUGAUCUGUAUCCGGCCUGAGAGGGCGCACGGACACACUGGAACUGAAACACGGUCCAGACUCCUACGGGAGGCAGCAGUGGGGAAUUUUGCGCAAUGGGGGAAACCCUGACGCAGCAACGCCGCGUGGAGGAUGAAGUCUCUUGGGACGUAAACUCCUUUCGAUAGGGAAGAUUAUGACGGUACCUAUAGAAGAAGCCCCGGCUAACUUCGUGCCAGCAGCCGCCGCCG
This 463-nucleotide ribosomal RNA is filed under the name uncultured bacterium. Its description in RNAcentral is "partial 16S ribosomal RNA". It matches the Rfam family "Bacterial small subunit ribosomal RNA", at positions 32 to 523 of the family's 1533-position model. The record is from RNAcentral.